AGCAAAUCUGGUUCAAUGUAAGAGAGUAGAUGAUUUGUAAAUCUUUAGUUAACUAUCUUUCUUGUUUACAUGUAAUGUAAAAUAUGUAGCAUUAAAUGCAGAUAAUCAUAAACGAAUGUAUAUAAAAAGUAGAUUUUAUUGAGUACAGUUAGUACAUUUCAUUCUGAAGUAGCAAUAUAUUUGUAGAAACACUACGUAAGGGCUUUAAAUAAAGGAUGUCUUUUAUGGUAGGUAUAGCAUUUCCUUUCAGAAUUGUAAAACAGCUUGUGUGCCCUGUUCGAUAAGUUUAAAAUUAAAAUGAAAAGAAAAAAAGAUUGAAAUACAUAUUAAAUUUAAGUUAGGUUUAAAAUGAAUUAAUUUAGAAUGUUUUCAAUUCAUUUUUCCCAGAGUAGAGUUCCAUAAAUGUAAAAUACACAGUGUAACUAUGUUAUCAAAUGCAAAAAGACU
Molecule: non-coding RNA, 447 nt
Organism: Pelobates cultripes (western spadefoot toad)
Lineage: Eukaryota; Metazoa; Chordata; Amphibia; Anura; Pelobatidae
Source: the annotation of a GenBank genome assembly